GACUACUGGGGUAUCUAAUCCCGUUUGCUCCCCUGGCUUUCGCGCCUCAGCGUCAGUUGCUGCCCAGCAAGUCGCCUUCGCCACCGGUGUUCUUCCCAAUAUCUACGCAUUUCACCGCUACACUGGGAAUUCCACUUGCCUCUACAGCACUCCAGUCUGCCAGUUUCAACAGCAUAUGAGGGUUAAGCCCCCAUUUUUAACAGCUGACUUGACAAACCGCCUGCGCGCCCUUUACGCCCAGUAAUUCCGGACAACGCUCGUCCCCUACGUAUUACCGCGGCUGCUGGCACGUAGUUAGCCGGGACUUAUUCGUAUGGUACCGUCACGUCCUUCUUCCCAUACAAAAGAGGUUUACAACCCGAAGGCCGUCUUCCCUCACGCGGCGUCGCUGGGUCAGGGUUUCCCCCAUUGCCCAAUAUUCCCCACUGCAGCCACCCGUAGG
Molecule: ribosomal RNA, 442 nt
Filed under: uncultured Aminobacterium sp.
Lineage: Bacteria; Thermotogati; Synergistota; Synergistia; Synergistales; Aminobacteriaceae
Description: partial 16S ribosomal RNA
Source: RNAcentral